AUUGAACGCUGGCGGCAGGCCUAACACAUGCAAGUCGAGCGGCAGCACAGAAGAGCUUGCUCUUUGGGUGGCGAGUGGCGGACGGGUGAGUAAUGUCUGGGAAACUGCCCGAUGGAGGGGGAUAACUACUGGAAACGGUAGCUAAUUCCGCAUAACGUCGCAAGACCAAAGUGGGGGACCUUCGGGCCUCACACCAUCGGAUGUGCCCAGAUGGGAUUAGCUAGUAGGUGGGGUAAUGGCUCACCUAGGCGACGAUCCCUAGCUGGUCUGAGAGGAUGACCAGCCACACUGGAACUGAGACACGGACCAGACUCCGACGGGAGGCAGGAGUGGGGAAUAUUGCACAAUGGGCGCAAGCCUGAUGCAGCCAUGCCGCGUGUAUGAAGAAGGCCUUCGGGUUGUAAAGUACUUUCAGCGGGGAGGAAGGCGGUGAGGUUAAUAACCUCGCCGAUUGACGUUACCCGCAGAAGAAGCACCGGCUAACUCCGUGCCAGCCGCCGCCGUAA
Molecule: ribosomal RNA, 506 nt
Filed under: uncultured bacterium
Lineage: Bacteria
Description: partial 16S ribosomal RNA
Rfam family: Bacterial small subunit ribosomal RNA
Source: RNAcentral